GGUCAUACAAAGAAUUUUGAUGGAAGUGUUCAAUUUGUCAAGGGGCAUACAAGUAUGAAAGAUGUUGUAGAUGGAGCUGUUAAGAUUUUGACUGUUAUAGUAUGUAUCCAUAUGAAAGACUUGGAUUUUGUUAUUCUAGUUACUAAUUAACCUGUGAAUUAUAAAUAGGUGACUAUUAUGGUUGUUGUUGUACCUGAAGGUCUUCCAUUGGCUGUUACAUUGACUCUUACCUACUCAAUGAAGAAGAUGGCAAACAAAGCAUUGAUAUGCUUCUCUUCUUAUCAAACUAGAAUCCAUACGUUCAACUAUUAGUAAGUUGCUACGUUACAGCUUCAGAGGCUAUCAGCUUGUGAAAUGAUUGGAUCUACCACUACCAUCUGCAACGAUAAGAACUCUAACAUUGAAUCAGGGAAAGUUGCGGAGUUUGACAGCCCACAUAGACUUUUGGAGGACAAGACAUCAAUGUUUAUGAAACUAGUCUCUGAAUACUCUAUAAGGUCAAGCAGCAUUCCAGAUGCUUGAGCAAGAGCCUCUUUAUUACAUUAUGAAAACUGAAAGAUGAACGAAGAACUGAGGCUGUACCAAGCUGUGCACAGUUGACAAUGGGAAGUCGUCAAAAUGUAAUAAAGAGGAUCAUUGGAAGUUCUAUUAGGCCUUCAAGGAAGAUGAAUGGAGAGGCAGUUAACUGCCUCGUAGAGUUGAAAGCUUUCUUUUCGGAAGUUAACUGUAACUGCUGAAUCCGAUUCUUUAGUGAAGUUGAAAUAAUAGGAGAGUCCAACAAGUAGGUCAUAGGAAUUAAUUUUGACGUGUAAAAUCAUUGAACUUCACCUUUAAAUUUUGGUUAGAAAUGGUUUUUAUUAUAGAUUUUGUAUUUCAAGAUGUUUUGGAUGAGGUUUAAUGAGAAAGAUAUAAAGCAGUUUUCUG
Dendrobium catenatum is the source of this 924-nucleotide long non-coding RNA. RefSeq lists it as uncharacterized. NCBI's taxonomy places the organism in Eukaryota, Viridiplantae, Streptophyta, Magnoliopsida, Asparagales, Orchidaceae. The transcript has 3 exons. The record is from RefSeq and is a predicted model, not a curated record.